GACGAACGCUGGCGGCGUGCUUAACACAUGCAAGUCGAACGGGUCUGCCCUGUUUUUUGCGGGGUGGGUCAGUGGCGAACGGGUGAGUAACACGUGAGUAACCUGCCCCUCACUUCUGGAUAACCGCUUGAAAGGGUGGCUAAUACGGGGUGUUCUGGCUGUGCCGCAUGGUGUGGCUGGGAAAGAUUCACUUUUGUGGUGUUUUGGUGGGGGAUGGGCUCGCGGCCUAUCAGCUUGUUGGUGGGGUGAUGGCCUGCCAAGGCUUUGACGGGUAGCCGGCCUGGGAGGGUGGGCGGUCACACUGGUACUGAGAGGCGGCCCAGACUCCUGCGGGAGGCAGCAGUGGGGGUUAUUGCACAAUGGGCGGAAGCCUGAUGCAGCGACGUCGCGUGAGGGAUGGAGGCCUUCGGGUUGUGAACCUCUUUCGCCGGUGAAGAAGGUCCUGCUCUUUGUGGUGGGGUUGACGGUAGCCGGGUUAUGAAGCGCCGGCUAACUACGUG
RNAcentral lists this ribosomal RNA (500 nucleotides) under uncultured bacterium. Its description in RNAcentral is "partial 16S ribosomal RNA". It matches the Rfam family "Bacterial small subunit ribosomal RNA", at positions 28 to 507 of the family's 1533-position model. The record is from RNAcentral.